CGACGCUAACGCUAACUGCUCCGUGUUGGUUCGUGUUACGGCACCAUAUUAAAAAAAGGUGGAUGACCUGUCUCCCUAACAUCAUCUGAGCCGAAGGCCUCUGUUAGGAGCAUCCCACUCUGUCUCUUAUUUCCCAGAGGACAUGGAAUGCAUCAGCACACUGGCCUGCGUGAGAUCUGCACAGGACACACUACAACCUCACAAGGACCUCAAUUUUUCUGCACACCACUAGUCUUAACCAAAUGCAGGCAUGGACACUGGCUGCCUGAGAAGAACGGUCAAAAGAGUAAAAAUGGCACAUCCUGCACUCUUUGGCAGCGUGGAGGUUGGGGGGUAAUGGGGGACUGCACAUAGAGGAUAUUUACUCAGGUUUUUCUACAGAGACAUCCUAGAGGGUACAUUUUCUCACAUACAGUACAUUGAGGGCAGUUCAUUUCAUUUUCUUGCUUGUAGGAGAGCCUAUAAGGAAGUACAUUGCAUUUUUUCCAAAGAAGGACACAUACUAGGGCACUUCAUCACACCUCACAUAAACUUCACCAAAAGAGCAUCCCAGAGGGCAC
Tachysurus vachellii is the source of this 560-nucleotide long non-coding RNA. RefSeq lists it as uncharacterized. Lineage: Eukaryota; Metazoa; Chordata; Actinopteri; Siluriformes; Bagridae. The transcript has 4 exons. The record is from RefSeq and is a predicted model, not a curated record.